UGGGGAAUAUUGCACAAUGGGGGAAACCCUGAUGCAGCGACGCCGCGUGAGCGAAGAAGGCUUUCGAGUCGUAAAGCUCUGUCCUAUGAGAAGAUAAUGACGGUAUCAUAGGAGGAAGCCCUGGCUAAAUACGUGCCAGCAGCCGCGGUAAUACGUAUGGGGCGAGCGUUGUCCGGAAUUAUUGGGCGUAAAGGGUACGUAGGCGGAUAAGCAAGUUAGAAGUGAAAUCCUAUAGCUCAACUAUAGUAAGCUUUUAAAACUGCUCAUCUUGAGGUAUGGAAGGGAAAGUGGAAUUCCUAGUGUAGCGGUGAAAUGCGCAGAUAUUAGGAGGAAUACCGAUGGCGAAGGCGACUUUCUGGCCAUAUACUGACGCUGAGGUACGAAAGCGUGGGUAGCAAACAGG
RNAcentral lists this ribosomal RNA (403 nucleotides) under Verrucomicrobiota bacterium. RNAcentral's name for it is "Verrucomicrobia bacterium partial 16S ribosomal RNA". It matches the Rfam family "Bacterial small subunit ribosomal RNA", at positions 355 to 776 of the family's 1533-position model. The record is from RNAcentral. Lineage: Bacteria; Pseudomonadati; Verrucomicrobiota.